Molecule: long non-coding RNA, 2543 nt
Organism: Cygnus olor (mute swan)
Lineage: Eukaryota; Metazoa; Chordata; Aves; Anseriformes; Anatidae
Exons: 4
Source: RefSeq, a predicted model, not a curated record
AGGACAGAUGAACUCUACAGCAAAACUUUUUGCAAGUUUGUGUGAAUAAUAAUCAGAAAACAUAAUGGAAAUAAAAUGAUAGCUUCCAAAAAAAUGGAACAAUGAACUGAUCAACAAAGAAAUUGAAAUUUAAAAGAUCCUUUACUGACACAGGAGAUUUGAUAUCAUCUUGUGCUUGUACUUGCUGCUGAAGAUUGUAUCAAAUGAGUUUUCCUUAUCAAAAUGAUUACAGACCAUCUUGGAAGGUUUGUGAGUCAGGACUUCCCCUUUACAGAGGCCAUUCUAUAAAGGAUUAGCAAGGAGAAUCUAUGAUUCAGUUGUGAGAAGUAACGCUAGGCACCAAUCUCACAAAGCAAAAUGAUAGAAGCUGAGAUGAUGAACUAGCUAUAUUUUGUCACUAUUGUUAGUUCAAUCAACAAUAAAGUUACUGCAAUUUCUAAAUGAUGCAAAAUGUCACCUCAAAAAGAUACCAUGGAGAAAGUUUUCCUUAAGUUGACCAAUGGCUGUUUUGAGGCUGCCAAUUUCCAGAUGUCCUUGAGUGGAAGAAAGAACCUUCAUAACCAUAAAAUUAAACAAAGGAGCAAGCAUUCAGUCCUUCAGUCCUAAAAACACCUAUGGAAACACUGGUGAUACAAUAACUCCACAAUUCUGCCCUUCUCUGUUCUUUUGAAGCUCCAACAUUAUUACAAGACUCUUAUUGAGGUCCAGAACCAACCACAUGACAUUGAUCAUUCUCAAGAGAGAUCAACCAAAGAUCAUUGCCAGCAUGACAAACUGCAUGUCUGCACAAUGCCAAACAGCUAUACUACAGUAAUAUACAUAUAGUGCACUUAUAUGGGGAGAAAAAUGCCGGGGAGUGAAGUCUAAUAAGUCAAAGAUCUGGCUGGAUCCCCAGAGCAGUUCUGCUGCACCACACUAUACUGCUGAACCAGUAACUGUUCCUAUCCUUGUACCCAUAAAUCAGUGGUAUCAAUGUCUAUCUGGAGAAAAAUGUGAUCUCAAAACUCAGAGGAGCUGAUUUUAGCAAACUCCAGAAAGCUGUCAGAGAUAAGUCAGUAUGGCAUUUGUCACAGGGACAGCUGGUUCUGUGGAGACUGUUAUGACACUGCUCUCUCAUGGCAGCAAGUUCACAUCUCUUUCUGGAGUCUUGGGUUUUCCUGAAGACACCUUAAGGGCAUAAAGUAGUCUUUUGCAUGAGUUCUCAAGAGUGAACUCAAAGAAGUGGAGACAGAUCUCUAUAUUAGAGUGAUAUAUAUAUCGGUUAUAAUACAAAAUUAUUAUAGAUAAAUUAGAAUAACAAAAUUGCAACAUUUUCCUCAUUCAGUUAAUUAUCUCCAUAUUACCAACCCAAAACUUUCAUAAGUCAUGAAUCUGGCUUUCCAAUGAUUGGCUUAAAGUUGAUGAGAUUUUUAAAAAUCUCAGAGGUUUGGAUUUUAGCUGGUCAGUACAUAUUCUUAAUAUUAUAACGUCAGGAAACAUGUCUAGAAGGAAACUAACUUUGAAAAAUGAAAAAAGCACAAAAUGGCACCACAUCUUAAAAAAAAUAUUUGUUAUUGCUUCACUAUACGCUUCCAUAAAAACAUAAGGUGUAAUAAAAAGCAUGUGAAAGUUGACAUACAUAUCCCUAUAAUACCAUCUGUAUUUAAUUAAAUACAAAAAUGAUGUGCAUUUUAAAAACUAUACUUCUUUUACCCCAUGAAUUGCCAUGCAACAUUUCAUUUUGAUUGCUGGAGAUUUUGUUUGAGUUCAGGGUAAACGUAUUUUUUUUUUUUAAGUAGUACCACCUUUCUGUCUACUUUUUGUGGACCUACACUUUCUAAUGAUCCUUUGUGAUGACUGAAAAGGAUGACUGAUGUGUUGUUGUUGUGUUUUUUUUUUCCCAAGAUACUUUUAAUUGAAUGUUUGACUGUUUUAUAUUCCUCUGAACCCUUCACAUCCACUAUUUCUGUGUUUAGUCUCUUUCUUCAUUUUAUCUGUCUUGUCAGUCAAGGUUAUGGGGAAGAAGUAGGUAUUUUAUAAUUUCGUCUUUUAAAAGAGGGAAAGGUGCAAAUACUGCUUUACUGUUGCUUUCUAAAUAGAUUCCAUUGGGUAAAAAGCAUAACAAAAUUAUUCAUAUAUUAAAUAUUAGCUUUAUGUAAGAUGGAUUUCUAUUCAUAUAAAUAAUAAAUUUAAAAUUCUGAAUUUGUCAGACAUAUACCUCACGUACAAUCCUUAUGAACAAGUCUUUGCAGUGUUAAGCAAUGUUAAGACAAGCAUGUCCUGGACCAAAAACUAUUGCAGUAAGAUGUUGGUUUACAUUUUUCUCCCCAAGCAAAUCCGUAUGUAUAUUCACAGCAUUACAAUUUAACUACUGCAAAUAGCCAAACUGAAAGUACUGCUUCAGCAUAAAACCAUGAGUAGGUUACAACUUAGCUUCUGAAUGAUAAAUUUCUUUAAAAAGUCUUUCAGAUGUUUUAAAACUAAGGAGUUUCUCAUUGCUGCACAGAAAUGUGUAUCAAUUCUACUUUCUCUUGAGUUCUAAAGUUAAAGUGGAAAAUGAAAAG